Molecule: RNA transcript, 3504 nt
Organism: Vigna angularis (adzuki bean)
Lineage: Eukaryota; Viridiplantae; Streptophyta; Magnoliopsida; Fabales; Fabaceae
Exons: 7
Source: RefSeq, a predicted model, not a curated record
GUGAGCGACAGAUUUAACAACAUGGUAGUUUUGUGUUUUUGUAAAAGAAAAAGAGUAUGGUAGAGGAGAAUAGAACACCACAGAAACAAUGCGCGCCAUUCCAGUUUCCUCAGAAUCAUACUCGGGUUUUCUAUUCCCUCAACCACUCGCUUCCUUUUCCCCUAACUCCAUUCCCAUAACCCACUCCUCUCUCUUCUUCUUCCACCCUUUUCAUUUCAAGAUCCAUCAUUCACUAUCCUUUCCCAAACCCUGCUCCUCCAAGUCCACACCUUUCUUGUGCACUGCUGCUUCAGAACCCGACCCCAUCACUUUGGGUGAUGUGGGGGUUGAAGAGUCGGAAGAGUCCUUAGUUGAUGAUGGGGUGUGCGUAGAGGUGAUGAAACUGGACAAGAACUCGCGCAGAAUCGAAUCGACAAUUUCCAUUGAAGCUUCUCUUUCUUCCAUUUGGAACAUCUUGACCGAUUACGAGAGGUUGGCUGAUUUCAUUCCUGGCCUAGUUGUCAGCCAGUUGCUCCAAAAGGGUGACAAUUAUGCCCGUCUUUUGCAGAUUGGACAGCAAAAUAUAGCAUUUGGGGUAAAAUUCAAUGCUAAAGGAAUUGUAGAUUGUUAUGAGAAAGAAUUGGAGACUCUUCCUACUGGUAUUAAGCGUGAAAUUGAAUUCAAGAUGAUUGAAGGAGAUUUUCAACUCUUUGAAGGAAAAUGGUCUAUUUUUCAGAAAGAACAAAGGCGAAAAUGGACAAGAAGGAUAGCAAGGGACAGAGUGGAGAAGGCUUUGCAAUAUUCUUACAGAACCAAAGGAUCAAUGCUGUCACAAGUGUUCAUGGGCUAUGUUUUCUCACUUCUUUUCUUCUCUUACUAAUCCAUAAUCUUUUACAAUUCAGUACAAGAUAAAAAAUCCAUAAUAUUUCUAGUUUCUUGCUUUCUUUCUUUUUGUUUCAUUGCUUUUUUCCUUUUUUUUUUUAAUUUUUGCGUUCUUUCUUGUUAUAUUAUCUUGUUUAUUUUUUUUUCUUUCUUGAAUUAUUUUUCUUUCUUCCAUUCUUUCUUGUUUAUGUGUUUCCCUUCCUGCCUACAUGAUUUUUCAUUUUCUUUCAUAAUUGAUUCUUGCUUCUUUUCUUUCUUAGUUUUUUGGUUUCUUUAUUUUCUUCCUUUCUCGCUUUUUCUUUUAUUGAUUUCUUGGUUAUUUCCUUCGUUUUUCUUUUUUUCCCCAUUAUCUUUCAUGCUUGCUUUCUUGUUUUUGUUUCUUUUGUUAUUUAAUUUUUUAAUGUUUACUUCACUCCUUUCCUCCCUUCUAACAUUUUCACUGAGUAAAUCCUAGGUAGAGCUGUCAACGUUUUUUUUGGCCCCAAGGCCAACCCUGGCCUCUUUUACAAUCAGCCAAUUUUUUUUUACCCAUGUUAGAGGAGGCUUUUCUAAAGCCCCUGGCCCCCACAGCACCAUGAAAUUGGUUGGGAUUCAAUUAGGGCCGGGUUAGCCCCUAACCCCCAAAACAUUUUGGUUUUUUUCGAGAUAUUCCCGUUUGCUCUGAAGAAACACUUCUCUGCAUGCUGGAACGCUGGACUAUUGCCAUUUAUCCUUGUAUACGAAGUCAGAGUCGGCAACAUCAACUUUGCUAGAACUGCAAAACUCAAUUCUACCCUUUUCUUAAUCACCCUCUUGCUUGUCUAUUUCACACUGCCCAUUUUGGAGGUAUGCACUUCGUUUCUCAAGAAAUCAUGAAAUUAUGUUUUGAAAUUAUAAAUUCAGUUUACUUUCUUAUCUUUUUAUCUACCUGUUCAUGAACAUGUUUAAUUUAUAUUAUCUUCUUAUUCAUGAACAAAUCUCUUACUAUUUUCUUCCGAUACUGGUGAUUCAUAACCUCAUCCCCAACUCCAACUUUCAUUUCUAUGUUUCUUAUUCUUUUGAUGUUUGUUUUAUUGGGUGUUUGCCUGUUUGAUGUUAAUUUAAUUAAUUCAAUAUCUUUGCAUGUUUGUGUUUUCAAGGAUGUAGGUUCUGGGAAAGUUGUUAAAGAACUUCUUGUUCUUGAAUUUAAGUGGGUGCUUGCUUCAUCCAAAUUUUGUGUUAAAAAGUUGAAAUAAGUUUGCUAACGUUCUGUGUUUGUUUUCAUUAUGAAAGACGUUUAGUCGAUAUAGAAUAUUUGUCUUUUCUUUGUUUAAGAAGAUUCAAAACGUGUUUUUUUCCUGUCAAAAUGUGAAUGGUUGGUACCUACCUUUAUAACUAUCUCACCGGUGUUAGUGCAUUGAAUAAACUUUUGUUGGCAUCCUAUAAAUUCUGCUCUUCUUGCGUUCCCUGAUGAUAUUGACACCAUUUCAGCCGUUUUCUUUUUGGAAAUACAAGUUGAAAUGUUCUCAAGGUGUGACUUUGAAAUGUCAUUUUUUCAUUAUAAACAACUUGAAUUCUGCACCUUGAAACUUGAAAAUGUACUUUACAUUAAUUUUUCUAUGUUCUCUUAAGUAGCUUUCUUUUACUGUUUUUGUUUUGAUGCAAAUACAAAUUUAGUUCAUUGGCUUACUAUUGUGAUUUAUAAAAACAAGCUUGGGGUUAUAAGCACAUUUGGAUUGUCUUUAGUGAUAUUAUAUGAUGCCAUGUUUUUGAAUUGAUUAUUAUUUUGCAGAAUAUGAAACACAAAAGCAUUGUAAAGUAUCUUGGAUCUUGUAAGACCAAAAGUCACCUGCACAUAGUUCUUGAUUUUCCUUGCUGCACAUUGGCACAAAAAAUAAUUUUAUACGGCAUUGUAGAUUUGGUUGUCAUCCAUUAACUCUAAAGAUAGGACAGCAAAAUAUAGCAUUUGGGGGUAAAAUUCAACGCUAAAGGAAUUGUAGAUUGUUAUGAGAAAGAAUUGGAGACUCUUACUACUGGUAUUAAGCGUGAAAUUGAAUUCAAGACGAUUGAAGGAGAUUUUCAACUUUUUGAUGGAACAAGUCCACUUUACUCCUUGCUCAUUGGUAAAUCUUGAAGCUUGUGGUCUCAAAUGCCCUCUAUGUAAGUUCUUCAAGGUGCGCCCACCCUGAUCUUUACGUUGAAGGUUGGAUCAAUGUUUCAUUUUAGACUUGAAUGUUGGGUUUGAACUAACUAAAAUUGGGGUGGUUCCUAGUAUUAGAGUUAAUUAAGUUUUUCAUGAGUUAGCUAAGUUCGUGACGUAUAUCAAAUCAGUCCGUGUGUAAUACUCUUUUACAAGAUUUUUUAAUCAAUGAAUUUACAUGAACUUAGGCAGGGCUCAAGACAAUGAUUUUGUAAAUUUUCAUCCACAUUGCCACAACAUGGUUUAUCUAUUAUUCACACAGAAAGAACAAAGGCGAAAAUGGACAAGAAGGAUAGCAAGGGACAGAGUGGAGAAGGCUUUGCAAUAUUCUUACAGAACCAAAGGAUCAAUGCUGUCACAAGUGUUCAUGGGCUAUGUUUUCUCACUUCUUUUCUUCUCUUACUAAUCCAUAAUCUUUUACAAUUCAGUACAAGAUAAAAAAUCCAUAAUAUUUCUAGUUUCUUGCUUUCUUUCUUUUUGUUUCA